UGCUCAAUGAAAUAUAUAUAUAAUAUAUAUAUAUAUAUUUUAAUAGCCGCAAAAUUUUUUAUGUGCUAAGGUAGCAUAAUCAUUUGUUUUUUAAUUAAAAACUAGAAUGAAAGGUUAUACAUUUAAAUUUCUUUAUUAAUUUCUUAUAUAUAAUUUAUAUUAAAUAUAAAAAUAUAUUUUUUAAAUAAAAAGACGAUAAGACCCUAUUAAAUUUUACUUAUAGUUUAACUGGGGAAGUUUUAAAAAUAAAAUUUUUUAUAAAAAUAAAAAUAAAUCUAAUAAAAUUAAAAUUAAAUUAAAUUACUAUAGGGAUAACAGCAUUAUAUUUUUUAAAAGUUCAUAUUAAAAAAAAUGAUUGUGACCUCGAUGUUGAAUAUAUUUUCUUUAUUAAUGCGCUAAUUAUAAAAGUGGAUCUGUGCGCUCUUUAAAAUAUUACA
This 437-nucleotide ribosomal RNA is filed under the name Anelosimus eximius. Its description in RNAcentral is "partial 16S ribosomal RNA". The record is from RNAcentral. Lineage: Eukaryota; Metazoa; Arthropoda; Arachnida; Araneae; Theridiidae.